Molecule: ribosomal RNA, 497 nt
Filed under: uncultured bacterium
Lineage: Bacteria
Description: partial 16S ribosomal RNA
Rfam family: Bacterial small subunit ribosomal RNA
Source: RNAcentral
GAUGAACGCUGGCGGCGUGCCUAAUACAUGCAAGUCGAGCGAACGGACGAGGAGCUUGCUUCUCUGAUGUUAGCGGCGGACGGGUGAGUAACACGUGGAUAACCUACCUAUAAGACUGGGAUAACUUCGGGAAACCGGAGCUAAUACCGGAUGAUAUUUUGAACCGCAUGGUUCAAAAGUGAAAGACGGUUUUGCUGUCACUUAUAGAUGGAUCCGCGCUGCAUUAGCUAGUUGGUAAGGUAACGGCUUACCAAGGCAACGAUGCAUAGCCGACCUGAGAGGGUGAUCGGCCACACUGGAACUGAGACACGGUCCAGACUCCUACGGGAGGCAGCAGUAGGGAAUCUUCCGCAAUGGGCGAAAGCCUGACGGAGCAACGCCGCGUGAGUGAUGAAGGUCUUCGGAUCGUAAAACUCUGUUAUUAGGGAAGAACAUAUGUGUAAGUAACUGUGCACGUCUUGACGGUACCUAAUCAGAAAGCCACGGCUAACUACGUG